CCCUUAGAUGUUCUGGGCCGCACGCGCGUUACACUGUUCGACGCAGCGAGUCUUAACCUUGACCGAAAGGUUUGGGUAAUCUUCAGCAAAGUCGAACGUGAUGGGGAUCGAUCAUUGCAAUUAUUGAUCGUGAACGAGGAAUUCCUAGUAAGUGCAAGUCAUCAGCUUGCGCUGAUUACGUCCCUGCCCUUUGUACACACCGCCCGUCGCUACUACCGAUUGAAUGGUUUAGUGAGAUCUCUGGAUUGACGCUGGCUAGGGGGCGACCCUUGGCCAGACUGUUGAGAAACUGCUCAAACUUGAUCAUUUAGAGGAAGUAAAAGUCGUAACA
Molecule: ribosomal RNA, 331 nt
Filed under: uncultured eukaryote
Lineage: Eukaryota
Description: partial 18S ribosomal RNA
Rfam family: Eukaryotic small subunit ribosomal RNA
Source: RNAcentral